GACGGGACCGCACAAGCGGUGGAUGAUGUGGAUUAAUUCGAUGCAACGCGAAAACCUUACCUACCCUUGACAUGUCCGGAAUCCGAAGAGAUUUGGGAGUGCUCGCAAGAGAACCGGAACACAGGUGCUGCAUGGCUGUCGUCAGCUCGUGUCGUGAGAUGUUGGGUUAAGUCCCGCAACGAGCGCAACCCUUGUCAUUAGUUGCCAUCAUUUGGUUGGGCACUCUAAUGAGACUGCCGGUGACAAACCGGAGGAAGGUGGGGAUGACGUCAAGUCCUCAUGGCCCUUAUAGGUGGGGCUACACACGUCAUACAAUGGCCGGUACAGAGGGUAGCCAACCCGCGAGGGGGAGCCAAUCCCACAAAGCCGGUCGUAGUCCGGAUCGCAGUCUGCAACUCGACUGCGUGAAGUCGGAAUCGCUAGUAAUCGCGGAUCAGCAUGUCGCGGUGAAUACGUUCCCGGGUCUU
This 467-nucleotide ribosomal RNA is filed under the name uncultured Rhodocyclaceae bacterium. RNAcentral describes it as "bacterial SSU rRNA". It matches the Rfam family "Bacterial small subunit ribosomal RNA", at positions 917 to 1381 of the family's 1533-position model. The record is from RNAcentral. Lineage: Bacteria; Pseudomonadati; Pseudomonadota; Betaproteobacteria; Rhodocyclales; Rhodocyclaceae.